UUUCACGGCCGCGGUAUCCUGACCGUGCAAAGGUAGCACAAUAAUGAGCCUCCUAAUUAGAGGAUAGAAUGAAUGAACCAACGAGAAAGAAACUGUCUCAUAAAUAUAAACUAAAAUUUAUAUGUGGGUGCAAAAGCCUACAUCCCAAUUAAAGACAAGAAGACCCUAUAAGCUUUUUAAAUUUUUAAUAUCUUUAAUUGAAUUUUUAUUUAGUUGGGGCGACUAAAAGUACAAAACACUUUUCAUCCCUUAGAGAUUAUACCUCACCAUUAUUUAGCUUCAAUACACACAAGUAAGUUACUUUAGGGAUAACAGGCUAAUACUUCCCGAGAGUACGCAUCAACGGAAGUGCUUGGCACCUCGAUGUUGGCUUAGGGUGUCUAUUUCAUGCAGAAGUGAAAUAAGAAGGUUUGUUCAACCACUAACUCCCUACGUGA
RNAcentral lists this ribosomal RNA (437 nucleotides) under Syllis magellanica. RNAcentral's name for it is "partial 16S ribosomal RNA". It matches the Rfam family "Bacterial large subunit ribosomal RNA", at positions 1923 to 2603 of the family's 2925-position model. Lineage: Eukaryota; Metazoa; Annelida; Polychaeta; Phyllodocida; Syllidae. The record is from RNAcentral.